AAUGUGCCCGUAACUAGAGGUUGCCCGCAGGGGUCAAUCAGCGGCCCAUUUAUUUGGGAUUUGCUAUGGAUGUACUGCUUCAGCGCCUCGAGCCGUAUUGCCCAUUGAGUGCAUACGCGGAUGAUCUGCUUCUUCUCGUCGAGGGAAAUUCCCGAGCCGUGCUAGAGGAGAAAGGAGCGCAACUUAUGUCCAUCGUUGAAACGUGGGGAGCGGAAAUUGGCGUUGCCGUUUCCACCAGCAAGACGGUAAUAAUGCUGCUUAAAGGUACCUUGAGACGUGCGCCACGGUAAAGUUUGCUGGAGCAAACCUGCCGUACGUGCGUAGCUGUCGGUAUCUGGGCAUCACGGUCAGUGAAGGAAUGAAAUUCCUCACGCACAUAGCUUCGCUACGUCAGCGAAUGACCGGAGUCGUUGGAGCAUUGGCGCGUGUGCUUCGAGUUGACUGGGGUUUCAGUCCUCGAGCCAGGCGGACCAUAUAUGCCGGACUCAUGGCACCUUGUGUGCUAUUUGGUGCCUCGGUAUGGUAUGUCACCGCCGAGCAAGUAGCUGCCAAGAGGCGACUAGCGUCCUGUCAUAGACUGAUCCUGCUUGGAUGCCUUUCGGUAUGCCGAACAGUGUCCACCGCGGCACUGCAGGUUCUUGCUGGAGCUCCCCCGCUUGACUUGGCUGCUAAGCAAUUGGCAGUCAAAUACAAGCUGAAGCGUGGAUUCCCGCUGGAGGAGAACGACUGGCUCUACGGUGAGGACCUGGAAGGUCUGAACUGGGAGCAGAGAAAGGCGCGGAUUGAGGAGUGCAUGCUCCUCAGUUGGCAGAGCAGAUGGGAUGACCACAGCGCACCAGGGCGGGUUACGCACCGGUUCGUCCCAGAUGUUACUUCCAUCUAUCGAGACCCAAGUUUUGGGUUCUCGAUGAUGGGGUCUUUCCUGCUCACAGGGCAUGGGUCGCUCAAUGCAUUUCUGCAUGGGAGAGCCCUCAGCGACACCACUGCAUGCGCAUGUGGUGAUCCAUACGAGGACUGGAUGCACGUAUUGUGUGCAUGCCCCCUGUAUGCAGAUUGCGAGACCUCGAUGGACUUGGAGUGCGGCGCGUUGGCGAAACUGGAUAUUUGAUGGAAUCCUGGAGGAUCGGGACAGGACUCACGGCUGAUGCAGUUUGCUGAGGAGGCGUUUCGCAGGAGGAGGGGCCUUUAGCCACAUCUUUCCGUGUGGCUAGCGGGUAGAAUACUGCACAGCCUGCCGUUGCUUGUCGUAAAGGCGACUAUGCGGCAAUGGGUGCCCUAUCGGUUUUGUCGGAACCAAAGGGUGAGGCCCCGAGCCUGUAAUUUCGGUACCACGGGUUGAGCAGUUCCAAGACUGCUCAUUGAGGUUGGCCCCUUGUGGAGUAUCGUGGUGGCUGUGGUUAUCCCAAAAUCGCGGGAGAUCCCUUGGGAUCGACGUGGAGUUGCGUUCUCAACCUGGCGCUGUGACCAUUAGAUCAGCAGAGAUUUAAGAUAGGUCUCGACCCCUCACAAAGGGGGAGUGCACGUCCGGCUUGCGUGCGCUCGAAUUUGUACCGGGGUAGUUGCUAUGUACAUAGCUAUAGCUUCUGGUCCGGGGCGGUUGGCUGGCGCUUAAUCCAGACUGUUGCAUUAUGUGGUCAAUUCUGGCCACAUUGAAAUGCUGUGGUUGUACUCCCUUCAAUGCGGAACACGCCACAUAAAACAAGUACGGAGAGAUCCGAUUCUCGAUGUCCUAUCUACUAUCUAGCGAAACCACAGCCAAGGGAACGGGCUUGGAAUAAUUAGCGGGAAGAAGACCUUUUGAGCUUGACUCUAAUCUGGCAGUGUAAGGAGACAUAAGAGGUGUAGAAUAAGUGGGAGAUAUUAGACUUCGGUUUGGUAUCGACAAUGAAAUACCACUACUCUUAUUGUUUCCUUACUUACUUGAUUAAAUGGAACGUGUAUCAUUUCUAGCCAUUAUACGGAUAUAUUUAUUAUAUCUUAUGGUAUUGGGUUUUGAUGCAAGCUUCUUGAUCAAGUAUCACGAGUUUGUUAUAUAAUCGCAAACAAAUUCUUUAAUGAGACGAUGCAUUUAUGUAUUUUUGAUUUGAAAUUUGGUAUAACUCCAAUUACUCAGGUAUGAUCCAAUUCAAGGACAUUGCCAGGUAGGGAGUUUGACUGGGGCGGUACAUCUCUCAAUAAUAACGGAGGUGUCCAAGGCCAGCUCAGUGCGGACAGAAACCACACAUAGAGCAAAAGGGCAAAUGCUGACUUGAUCUCGGUGUUCAGUACACACAGGGACAGCAAAAGCUCGGCCUAUCGAUCCUUUUGGUUUAAAGAGUUUUUAACAAGAGGUGUCAGAAAAGUUACCAUAGGGAUAACUGGCUUGUGGCGGCCAAGCGUUCAUAGCGACGUCGCUUUUUGAUCCUUCGAUGUCGGCUCUUCCAUCAUUGUGAAGCAAAUCACCAAGCGUUGGAUUGUUCACCCAUGCAAGGGAACGUGAGCUGGGUUUAGACCGUCGUGAGACAGGUUAGUUUUACCCUACUAAUGACAAAACGUUGUUGCGACAGCAUUCCUGCGUAGUACGAGAGGAACCGCAGGUACGGACCAAUGGCACAAUACUUGUUCGAGCGAACAGUGGUAUGACGCUACGUCCGUUGGAUUAUGCCUGAACGCCUCUAAGGUCGUAUCCGUGCUGGACUGCAAUGAUAAAUAAGGGGCAAUUUGCAUUGUAUGGCUUCUAAACCAUUUAAAGUUUGU
RNAcentral lists this ribosomal RNA (2736 nucleotides) under Drosophila serrata. RNAcentral's name for it is "eukaryotic LSU rRNA". The stretch from base 1694 to 2736 matches the Rfam family "Eukaryotic large subunit ribosomal RNA", at positions 1890 to 3211 of the family's 3401-position model. The record is from RNAcentral. Lineage: Eukaryota; Metazoa; Arthropoda; Insecta; Diptera; Drosophilidae.